Molecule: small RNA, 131 nt
Filed under: Acinetobacter nectaris
Lineage: Bacteria; Pseudomonadati; Pseudomonadota; Gammaproteobacteria; Moraxellales; Moraxellaceae
Description: Manganese sequence
Rfam family: Manganese Mn2+ riboswitch aptamer (yybP-ykoY)
About the family: This RNA was originally discovered in E. coli during a large scale screen and was named SraF. The family was later found to exist upstream of related families of protein genes in many bacteria, including the the yybP and ykoK genes in B. subtilis. The specific functions of these proteins are unknown, but this structured RNA element may be involved in their genetic regulation as a riboswitch.
Source: RNAcentral
AGUAACUUCAUUGGGGAGUAGCCGCUAUUUACAAUUAUUGUAAAUAGAUGAUGGUCAACAUACUUGUUCUUUUGAACAUGGUCAUCAUAGCAAAGAACCAAGUUUUUUCUUUUGUUGGCAAGACCUUUGAU